RNAcentral lists this ribosomal RNA (468 nucleotides) under uncultured bacterium. RNAcentral's name for it is "partial 16S ribosomal RNA". It matches the Rfam family "Bacterial small subunit ribosomal RNA", at positions 28 to 507 of the family's 1533-position model. The record is from RNAcentral.
GACGAACGCUGGCGGCGUGCUUAACACAUGCAAGUCGAACGGAAAGGUCCUGCUUUUGUGGGGUGCUCGAGUGGCGAACGGGUGAGUAACACGUGAGUAACCUGUCCUUGACUUUGGGAUAACUUCAGGAAACUGGGGCUAAUACCGGAUAGGAGCUCCCGCCGCGCGCUGGGGGUUGGAAAGUUUCGGCGGUUGGGGAUGGACUCGCGGCUUAUCAGCUUGUUGGUGGGGUGGUGGCUUACCAAGGCUUUGACGGGGAGCCGGCCUGAGAGGGUGACCGGCCACAUUGGGACUGAGAUACGGCCCAGACUCCUACGGGAGGCAGCAGUGGGGAAUAUUGCACAAUGGGCGGAAGCCUGAUGCAGCAACGCCGCGUGCGGGAUGACGGCCUUCGGGUUGUAAACCGCUUUCGCCUGUGACGAAGCGUGAGUGACGGUAAUGGGUAAAGAAGCACCGGCUAACUACGUG